UACGUAGGGGGCAAGCGUUGUCCGGAUUUAUUGGGCGUAAAGCGCGUGUAGGCGGCUUGGUAGGUCAGCUGUGAAAACUCGAGGCUCAACCUCGAGCUGUCGGUUGAAACCACCUUGCUAGAGUCCGGAAGAGGAGAGUGGAAUUCCUGGUGUAGCGGUGAAAUGCGCAGAUAUCAGGAAGAACACCAAUGGCGAAGGCAGCUCUCUGGGACGGUACUGACGCUGAGACGCGAAAGCGUGGGGAGCAAACAGG
Molecule: ribosomal RNA, 253 nt
Filed under: uncultured bacterium
Lineage: Bacteria
Description: partial 16S ribosomal RNA
Rfam family: Bacterial small subunit ribosomal RNA
Source: RNAcentral